This 655-nucleotide long non-coding RNA is filed under the name Numida meleagris (helmeted guineafowl). RNAcentral describes it as "lncRNA (ENSNMEG00000001150.1)". Lineage: Eukaryota; Metazoa; Chordata; Aves; Galliformes; Numididae. The record is from RNAcentral.
ACGGAUCUGAGCCCCACGGGGACCCCAUGGAUCUGAGCCCCACGGAUCCGAGCCCCACACAGGGACCCCACGGAUCUGAGCCCCACGGGGACCCCACGGAUCUGAGCCCCACGGGGACCCCACGGAUCUGAGCCCCACGGGGACCCCACGGAUCUGAGCCCCACGGAUCCGAGCCCCACAGGGACCCCAUGGAUCUGAGCCCUACGGGGACCCCACAGCCCCAGGACCCACACACGGAGCCCACAGCCCUGGGACCCACGGGGACCCCACAGAUUUGAGCCCCACGGAUCUGAGCCCCACACAGGGAACCCGGAUCCCUGAGCCCCACAGGGACCCCAGAUCCCUGGGACCCUCGGGGACCCCACAUCCCUGGGACCCACGCAGGGACCCCCACAGAUCUGAGCCCCACACAGGGAACCCGGAUCCCUAGGACCCACAGGGAACCCGGAUCCCUAGGACCCACGCAGGGACCCCACAGAUCUGAGCCCCACACAGGGAACCUGGAUCCUUAGGACCCACACAGGGAGCCCCACAUCCCCGAGCCCCCAUCCCACCGCUGGCUGAAAUCCCACAUCCAACCCCAGGCAACACCUGCAGGCGCCCAGCCCGGACCCGGCUGAAAAUCCCACUGCUUUGGGGCAGCCUACAAGGAAAC